AGAGGGAGCUCGUAUGGCGGGCUGAGAGGAAGUAAUCGAACUUCGACCUUUAUAACCUGAUUUGGGUAAUGCCAACGUAGGGACCAUAAGACAU
RNAcentral lists this non-coding RNA (94 nucleotides) under uncultured Lachnoclostridium sp. Its description in RNAcentral is "TPP riboswitch (THI element)". The stretch from base 2 to 83 matches the Rfam family "TPP riboswitch aptamer (THI element)", at positions 11 to 88 of the family's 105-position model. Rfam says of the family: Vitamin B(1) in its active form thiamin pyrophosphate (TPP) is an essential coenzyme that is synthesised by coupling of pyrimidine and thiazole moieties in bacteria. The previously detected thiamin-regulatory element, thi box was extended, resulting in a new, highly conserved RNA secondary structure, the THI element, which is widely distributed in eubacteria and also occurs in some archaea. The record is from RNAcentral. Lineage: Bacteria; Bacillati; Bacillota; Clostridia; Lachnospirales; Lachnospiraceae.